UGAAUGAACAUCAUUGAGUGCAGCGUUGAUGUAACUUCGUUUUUUCUUUUGUUUGCUCCAUCUAUUAUGGAAAUGGAUUAAAGCAAUUUACACCAGCGUUGCGCUCAAUCAUGUUUUUC
This 119-nucleotide microRNA precursor is filed under the name Capsella rubella. RNAcentral's name for it is "MIR397 microRNA precursor family". It matches the Rfam family "MIR397 microRNA precursor family". The record is from Rfam by way of RNAcentral. Lineage: Eukaryota; Viridiplantae; Streptophyta; Magnoliopsida; Brassicales; Brassicaceae.